RNAcentral lists this ribosomal RNA (459 nucleotides) under uncultured bacterium. RNAcentral describes it as "partial 16S ribosomal RNA". It matches the Rfam family "Bacterial small subunit ribosomal RNA", at positions 338 to 795 of the family's 1533-position model. The record is from RNAcentral.
CCUACGGGUGGCUGCAGUGAGGAAUAUUGGUCAAUGGGCGGGAGCCUGAACCAGCCAAGUCGCGUGAGGGACGACGGUCCUAUGGAUUGUAACCCUCUUUUGUCGGGGAACAAAGGCGCCCACUGGUGCCCGGAUGAGUGUACCCGAAGAAAAAGCAUCGGCUAACUCCGUGCCAGCAGCCGCGGUAAUACGGAGGAUGCGAGCGUUAUCCGGAUUUAUUGGGUUUAAAGGGUGCGUAGGCGGACAGUCAAGUCAGCGGUAAAAACGCGGUGCUCAACGCCGGACAGCCGUUGAAACUGGCAGGCUGGAGUGGGCGAGAAGUAUGAGGAAUGCGUGGUGUAGCGGUGAAAUGCAUAGAUAUCACGCAGAACUCCGAUUGCGAAGGCAGCAUACCGGCGCCCGACUGACGCUGAGGCACGAAAGCGUGGGUAUCGAACAGGAUUAGAUACCCUAGUAGUC